AUUGAACGCUGGCGGCAUGCCUUACACAUGCAAGUCGAACGGUAACAGGUCUUCGGAUGCUGACGAGUGGCGAACGGGUGAGUAAUACAUCGGAACGUGCCUAGUAGUGGGGGAUAACUACUCGAAAGAGUGGCUAAUACCGCAUGAGAUCUACGGAUGAAAGCAGGGGAUCGCAAGACCUUGUGCUACUAGAGCGGCCGAUGGCAGAUUAGGUAGUUGGUGGGAUAAAAGCUUACUAAGCCGACGAUCUUCAGCUGGUCUGAGAGGACGAUCGGCCAAACUGGGACUGAGACACGGCCCAGACUCCUACGGGAGGCAGCAGUGGGGAAUUUUGGACAAUGGGCGCAAGCCUGAUCCAGCCAUUCCGCGUGCAGGAUGAAGGCCUUCGGGUUGUAAACUGCUCCUGUACGGAACGAAAAGCCCUGGGUUAAUACCCUGGGGUCAUGACGGUACCGUAAGAAUAAGCACCGGCUAACUACGUGCCAGCAGCCGCCGUAA
Molecule: ribosomal RNA, 498 nt
Filed under: uncultured bacterium
Lineage: Bacteria
Description: partial 16S ribosomal RNA
Rfam family: Bacterial small subunit ribosomal RNA
Source: RNAcentral